UGAAGAACAGUCAAGUCUACGGCGCUGGCGGAAGAACACUAUUUCAGAUGUCAUCGUCGCGCUUCGGUUAUCGCCAAGCAAAAAUGUCUGCCUAAGGGAAACUCGCAAGUUACAUAGUGGAUAUUUGCAAUAUAAAAUCGCAAAACAUACCGAUUUCAUUAUCUUUCCGACGCGAAACAAGGACACCUACGCCGUCACUGGCACACCCGAUCGCCCUAGUUGGAUUUUUGACAACAAAACAGAUUUAGAAAAGGAUCGUAAGGAUGAACCCUCAGCAGCGGAUUGCCGCUAUCGGGACGGAUAAGGAACUGAGUGAUCUGCUGGAUUUCAGCGCGAUGUUUUCUCCACCUGUAAACAGUGGGAAAAACAGGCCGACCACUCUUGGAAGCAGCCAGUUCACCACAUCAGGUA
Long non-coding RNA from Sinocyclocheilus rhinocerous, 411 nucleotides. RefSeq lists it as uncharacterized. NCBI's taxonomy places the organism in Eukaryota, Metazoa, Chordata, Actinopteri, Cypriniformes, Cyprinidae. The transcript has 3 exons. The record is from RefSeq and is a predicted model, not a curated record.